GAUGAACGCUGGCGGCGUGCCUAAUACAUGCAAGUCGAGCGAAUGGAUUAAGAGCUUGCUCUUAUGAAGUUAGCGGCGGACGGGUGAGUAACACGUGGGUAACCUGCCCAUAAGACUGGGAUAACUCCGGGAAACCGGGGCUAAUACCGGAUAAUAUUUUGAACUGCAUGGUUCAAAAUUGAAAGGCGGCUUCGGCUGUCACUUAUGGAUGGACCCGCGUCGCAUUAGCUAGUUGGUGAGGUAACGGCUCACCAAGGCAACGAUGCGUAGCCGACCUGGGAGGGAGAUCGGCCACACUGGGACGGAGACACGGCCCAGACUCCGACGGGAGGCAGCAGUAGGGAAUCUUCCGCAAUGGACGAAAGUCUGACGGAGCAACGCCGCGUGAGUGAUGAAGGCUUUCGGGUCGUAAAACUCUGUUGUUAGGGAAGAACAAGUGCUAGUUGAAUAAGCUGGCACCUUGACGGUACCUAACCAGAAAGCCACGGCUAACUACGUGCCAGCCGCCGCCGUAA
RNAcentral lists this ribosomal RNA (515 nucleotides) under uncultured bacterium. RNAcentral describes it as "partial 16S ribosomal RNA". It matches the Rfam family "Bacterial small subunit ribosomal RNA", at positions 28 to 523 of the family's 1533-position model. The record is from RNAcentral.